GCGUGUCAUGAUGGCGCCGGUCCCCCGCGAGGAAUACCGGUGCAAGUCCGGAGCGGUCCCGCCACUGUGAUCCCGACGCGUUCGGGAGAGCCAGGACGUCGCCGGGGGCUCUCGUGCCCG
This 120-nucleotide non-coding RNA is filed under the name Knoellia subterranea. Lineage: Bacteria; Bacillati; Actinomycetota; Actinomycetes; Micrococcales; Intrasporangiaceae. The record is from RNAcentral.